This 72-nucleotide transfer RNA is filed under the name Hazenia capsulata. Its description in RNAcentral is "tRNA-Asn". It matches the Rfam family "tRNA". From Rfam's summary of the family: Transfer RNA (tRNA) molecules are approximately 80 nucleotides in length. Their secondary structure includes four short double-helical elements and three loops (D, anti-codon, and T loops). The record is from RNAcentral. Lineage: Eukaryota; Viridiplantae; Chlorophyta; Ulvophyceae; Ulotrichales; Hazeniaceae.
UCUUCGAUAGCUCAGUGGUAGAGCAAUCGGCUGUUAACCGAUUGGUCGUAGGUUCAAAUCCUACUCGAAGAG